This 374-nucleotide ribosomal RNA is filed under the name uncultured Bacteroidales bacterium. RNAcentral describes it as "bacterial SSU rRNA". It matches the Rfam family "Bacterial small subunit ribosomal RNA", at positions 22 to 395 of the family's 1533-position model. The record is from RNAcentral. Lineage: Bacteria; Pseudomonadati; Bacteroidota; Bacteroidia; Bacteroidales.
GCUCAGGAUGAACGCUAGCUACAGGCUUAACACAUGCAAGUCGAGGGGUAGCAGGGUAGCAAUACCGCUGACGACCGGCGCACGGGUGAGUAACACGUAUCCAACCUUCCCAUAACUCGGGGAUAGCCUUUCGAAAGAAAGAUUAAUACCCGAUAGUACUUAUAUAGGGCAUCCUACAUAAGUUAAAGAUUUAUUGGUUAUGGAUGGGGAUGCGUUCCAUUAGAUAGUUGGUGAGGUAACGGCUCACCAAGUCUUCGAUGGAUAGGGGUUCUGAGAGGAAGGUCCCCCACAUUGGUACUGAGACACGGACCAAACUCCUACGGGAGGCAGCAGUGAGGAAUAUUGGUCAAUGGGCGAGAGCCUGAACCAGCCAA